UGAAAGGCUGAGGAGAAGGAUCGACCUGUCUGGAAGGUGGCGCGCGGCUACCCGGUUUGAGAAGCAUGGUUUUAAGGUCUUUUAUUUAUUCAGGUGACAUGGCAGACAGAAUAGUGGACCCCAGAAUGUCCAUGUUCUAACCCCUGAAACCUGUGAAUAUGUUACAUCGGCAAACAGAACUUUGCAGGUGUGAUUAAGCCAAGGAUUUUGAGAUGGGAAGACUAUCAUGGAUUAUCCCAGGGGGUCUAAUGUAAUCGUAACGAUCCUUAUAAAAGGGAGGCAAGAGGGUCCUCUCUGGGCUCAGACCUAGUUUGCAGUGACAUGGCUAAAAUGCCCCAAGAAGGUCAGAAUUGUCGGUAAAUACAGGAGCCAUUUGCCUCCCUCAGGAAAAUGGUGAAGAAAAUUGAAAUAAGCCAGCACUCCAAGUACGUUUGCUCCUUCUGUGGCAAAACAAGGAUGAAGACGUGGUGUAGGGACAGAGA
Long non-coding RNA from Leopardus geoffroyi (Geoffroy's cat), 482 nucleotides. RefSeq lists it as uncharacterized. Lineage: Eukaryota; Metazoa; Chordata; Mammalia; Carnivora; Felidae. The transcript has 3 exons. The record is from RefSeq and is a predicted model, not a curated record.